RNAcentral lists this ribosomal RNA (330 nucleotides) under uncultured Spirochaetota bacterium. RNAcentral describes it as "bacterial SSU rRNA". It matches the Rfam family "Bacterial small subunit ribosomal RNA", at positions 29 to 351 of the family's 1533-position model. Lineage: Bacteria; Pseudomonadati; Spirochaetota. The record is from RNAcentral.
AACAAACGCUGGCGGCGCGUUUUAAGCAUGCAAGUCGGACGGCAAGAGUUGUAGCAAUAUGACUCCUAGAGUGGCGAACGGGUGAGUAACACGUAGGUGAUCUACCUCUGGAUGGGGGAUAGUCCGUGGAAACACGGGGUAAUACCGCAUGAGGCCUUGUGGGUGGAGCCAUGAGGUGAAAGGUGCAAUUGCAUCGUCUGGGGAUGAGCCUGCGGUCCAUUAGGUAGUUGGCGGGGUAAGGGCCCACCAAGCCUACGAUGGAUAGCCGGCCUGAGAGGGUGUACGGCCACACUGGAACUGAGACACGGUCCAGACUCCUACGGGUGGCUG